UACGGGAGGCAGCAGUGGGGAAUAUUGCACAAUGGGCGCAAGCCUGAUGCAGCCAUGCCGCGUGUAUGAAGAAGGCCUUCGGGUUGUAAAGUACUUUCAGUCGUGAGGAAGGUGUUAAGGUUAAUAACCUUAGCAAUUGACGUUAGCGACAGAAGAAGCACCGGCUAACUCCGUGCCAGCAGCCGCGGUAAUACGGAGGGUGCGAGCGUUAAUCGGAAUUACUGGGCGUAAAGGGCACGCAGGCGGUUAAUUAAGUUGGAUGUGAAAUCCCCGGGCUUAACCUGGGAAUGGCAUUCAAGACUGGUUAGCUAGAGUCUUGUAGAGGGGGUAGAAUUCCAUGUGUAGCGGUGAAAUGCGUAGAGAUGUGGAGGAAUACCGGUGGCGAAGGCGGCCCCCUGGACAAAGACUGACGCUCAUGUGCGAAAGCGUGGGGAGCAAACAGGAUUAGAUACC
RNAcentral lists this ribosomal RNA (453 nucleotides) under uncultured bacterium. Its description in RNAcentral is "bacterial SSU rRNA". It matches the Rfam family "Bacterial small subunit ribosomal RNA", at positions 340 to 786 of the family's 1533-position model. The record is from RNAcentral.